RNAcentral lists this ribosomal RNA (250 nucleotides) under uncultured prokaryote. Its description in RNAcentral is "partial 16S ribosomal RNA". It matches the Rfam family "Bacterial small subunit ribosomal RNA", at positions 524 to 773 of the family's 1533-position model. The record is from RNAcentral.
CACGUAAGGUGCGAGCGUUGUUCGGAAUUAUUGGGCGUAAAGGGCAUGUAGGCGGCAUCGUAAGCUUGGUGUGAAAUCCCGGGGCUUAACCCCGGAACUGCAUUGAGAACUGCGGAGCUAGAAUCACUGAGGGGCAACCGGAAUUCCAGGUGUAGGGGUGAAAUCUGUAGAUAUCUGGAAGAACACCAAUGGCGAAGGCAGGUUGCUAGCGGAUGAUUGACGCUGAGGUGCGAAGGUGCGGGGAGCGAAC